Molecule: ribosomal RNA, 460 nt
Filed under: uncultured Paludibacter sp.
Lineage: Bacteria; Pseudomonadati; Bacteroidota; Bacteroidia; Bacteroidales; Paludibacteraceae
Description: bacterial SSU rRNA
Rfam family: Bacterial small subunit ribosomal RNA
Source: RNAcentral
CCUACGGGAGGCUGCAGUGAGGAAUAUUGGUCAAUGGGCGCGAGCCUGAACCAGCCAAGUCGCGUGAAGGAAGAAGGUUCUAUGGAUUGUAAACUUCUUUUGUAAGGGAAUAAAGUACGGCACGUGUGCUGUUUUGUAUGUACCUUACGAAUAAGGAUCGGCUAACUCCGUGCCAGCAGCCGCGGUAAUACGGAGGAUCCAAGCGUUAUCCGGAUUUAUUGGGUUUAAAGGGUGCGUAGGUGGAUUGAUAAGUCAGCGGUGAAAGUUUGCAGCUUAACUGUAAAAUUGCCGUUGAAACUGUCAGUCUUGAGUGCAAAUGAGGUAGGCGGAAUGUGUUGUGUAGCGGUGAAAUGCUUAGAUAUAACACAGAACUCCAAUUGCGAAGGCAGCUUACUGGGAUGCAACUGACACUGAUGCACGAAAGCGUGGGGAUCAAACAGGAUUAGAUACCCCAGUAGUC